CACACACACACACGCACACAGUCCUUCCUCAUUUCACACAGCAGAUUAGCAGUGACAUGAGGAGAUCAAGAAGCCCACCUCUGACACAACAGACAUCUAGAGGAAAAUGUUUAUUUUGCUGUUAGUUACAGCAGUGUUGGUGGACAGUGCAGAGGUGUAUGUGAUUAUGGAUCCAUCCCCAAGAACAGUGGAAGCCUUCCUUGGCUCUUCCCUCACCCUCAACUGCAGCUUUGAACUCCAGAAUGUAAAAAAGCAUCAUGUGAGUUGGUGUUUCAACAAAAAUGCUUCCAGAUCAGGCUGCACGUCUACAAAGCGAUCUGAUAGAUCUUCCCUUGUACAUGGAGAUACAAGAAAGGAUUAUUGUUUACUGACUCUUACUGACGUUACCUUCAAGGACAGUGGAUGGUACUAUUGCAAAGUGACAGUAGACAUACCUAUAUUACUAGAAGCAUGCAGCAAUGAAACACAAGUGAUUGUAUCAGCAAAGAACCAGAUGGAAAGUACAACCAGUUCUUUAAAAACGGAUAAACCAGGUGUGUGAAUGUAUGUGUGGAGAAAAAGACAAGAGUAGGGGUGUAAAGUUAGCAAUAUGUCAUCAUGUCAAAAUGAUAUGGGCUCAGAUAUCUCUUUUACAAUUCAUAACAUGGUCCAGUCCAAUUAGAAAAAUGAAUGCAAAAUGGACAAAGUCAAUAGACAAAUUGUGAAAAAAAAAAAAAAAAUACUGUCACCCACAUCUUCCUUCCACAGUGCCUCCCACAAACAGUGCCGACAAGGAAGUGGGACUUGCAGGCUGGAAGCUGUGGGUGGCUGUGGGAGUGGGGAGUCUCAUCCUGGUCAUCGUGUUCGCGAUGGUGGUCUGGACCUUGCACAGACGAAGACAUCACAGGGGCAGAGAGUAUCCGAUCUAUGCAAACACGCGAGCUAAAUGUGCGGGGAAACAGCCGUCUCCACGUCCAGGCACGCAAGCCGACGGCAAGAAUAUUCAUGCUUCUCACCUAAGGACUCCAACCCCUCAGAGAAACCACGAUUACCAAUGAAGUCCAAAGCAUCAAAGUGUCUGAGUGCUACAUUAUCACAUAUUUUACACUGUCAAUCAAUCGUGAUCAAGUUCUCAAAAGUGUAUGGCCUUCUUCUACCCAUUUGUAUACUAAUAGGCUAGCCUACUUGUUUAGCUGUCUGUUUUCCCUGCUUGAUGGCACACAUAGUAUGGAUAGAUCAGAUCAUUUAAAGCUGGCUGUUGUUAAAGCAUUAUUUCUUUGGUGAUUCCAUUUAGCUGCCGAAUUGUUUAAAUUUGUGUCGUUUGUAUAGAAUAGCCUACUUACAUCACAUGCCAUGUUCACAUUCUCUUUUAACCCAUAGCAUUUUUGAAACUUGUAAAUUCACAAUUAAACUAUGUUGGCAGGCAUAGCUGCCAACAUAGGUCCACGCAUAGCUGCAAACAUAGGUCCACGCAUAGCUGCAAACAUAGGCCCAUGCAUAGCAUGUAAGCCUAGGUCCAUGGGCCCAGUUUCCCAGACAUGGAGCCUAGUCCUAUACAAAACCUUUUAGAUGGAGAUCUUCAUUAAAUGUUUCUCUUACUUUAGGACUUGGCUUGAUGGAAAAACGGGCCCUGUAGUUUAAUAUCGUAGAUUUUCAAUGGGUAUAGUACCAGGGGUAAUUCUAGGAUCAGACCUUUAGGGGGGCUCAGGCUAGCCUGGUCCAGACUCUCGUACAUUUCAUUUGUACAGAGAG
Molecule: long non-coding RNA, 1731 nt
Organism: Hypomesus transpacificus
Lineage: Eukaryota; Metazoa; Chordata; Actinopteri; Osmeriformes; Osmeridae
Exons: 4
Source: RefSeq, a predicted model, not a curated record